UGAACUUAAGAUUCAAAUAUAAAGUAUUUUUAAACUUUUAUUAAA
RNAcentral lists this transfer RNA (45 nucleotides) under Apis mellifera iberiensis. RNAcentral describes it as "partial tRNA-Leu". The record is from RNAcentral. Lineage: Eukaryota; Metazoa; Arthropoda; Insecta; Hymenoptera; Apidae.